AGGAUAGGUGGGAGGCUAUGAAGACGUGACGCCAGUUGCGUUGGAGCCGUCCUUGAAAUACCACCCUUGUAUGUUUGAUGUUCUAACUUAGACCCAUUAUCUGGGUUGAGGACAGUGCCUGGUGGGUAGUUUGACUGGGGCGGUCUCCUCCCAAAGAGUAACGGAGGAGCACGAAGGUGGGCUAAUCACGGUUGGACAUCGUGAGGUUAGUGCAAUGGCAUAAGCCCGCUUAACUGCGAGAAUGACGGUUCGAGCAGGUGCGAAAGCAGGUCAUAGUGAUCCGGUGGUUCUGUAUGGAAGGGCCAUCGCUCAACGGAUAAAAGGUACUCCGGGGAUAACAGGCUGAUACCGCCCAAGAGUUCAUAUCGACGGCGGUGUUUGGCACCUCGAUGUCGGCUCAUCACAUCCUGGGGCUGAAGUCGGUCCCAAGGGUAUGGCUGUUCGCCAUUUAAAGUGGUACGCGAGCUGGGUUUAGAACGUCGUGAGACAGUUCGGUCCCUAUCUGCCGUGGGCGUUGGAAGAUUGAAGGGGGCUGCUCCUAGUACGAGAGGACCGGAGUGGACGAACCUCUGGUGUUCGGGUUGUGUCGCCAGACGCAUUGCCCGGUAGCUAAGUUCGGAAUUGAUAAGCGCUGAAAGCAUCUAAGCGCGAAGCGAGCCCUGAGAUGAGUCUUCCCUGACAGUUUAACUGUCCUAAAGGGUUGUUCGAGACUAGAACGUUGAUAGGCAGGGUGUGUAAGCGUUGUGAGGCGUUGAGCUAACCUGUACUAAUUGCCCGUGAGGCUUAACCAU
This 791-nucleotide ribosomal RNA is filed under the name Vibrio cholerae. Its description in RNAcentral is "partial 23S ribosomal RNA". It matches the Rfam family "Bacterial large subunit ribosomal RNA", at positions 2140 to 2925 of the family's 2925-position model. Lineage: Bacteria; Pseudomonadati; Pseudomonadota; Gammaproteobacteria; Vibrionales; Vibrionaceae. The record is from RNAcentral.